RNAcentral lists this ribosomal RNA (1377 nucleotides) under uncultured bacterium. Its description in RNAcentral is "bacterial SSU rRNA". It matches the Rfam family "Bacterial small subunit ribosomal RNA", at positions 18 to 1390 of the family's 1533-position model. The record is from RNAcentral.
CCUGGCUCACGAUGAACGCUAGCUACAGGCUUAACACAUGCAAGUCGAGGGGCAGCAUGGUCUUAGCUUGCUAAGGCCGAUGGCGACCGGCGCACGGGUGAGUAACACGUAUCCAACCUGCCGUCUACUCUUGGACAGCCUUCUGAAAGGAAGAUUAAUACAAGAUGGCAUCAUGAGUCCGCAUGUUCACAUGAUUAAAGGUAUUCCGGUAGACGAUGGGGAUGCGUUCCAUUAGAUAGUAGGCGGGGUAACGGCCCACCUAGUCUUCGAUGGAUAGGGGUUCUGAGAGGAAGGUCCCCCACAUUGGAACUGAGACACGGUCCAAACUCCUACGGGAGGCAGCAGUGAGGAAUAUUGGUCAAUGGGCGAGAGCCUGAACCAGCCAAGUAGCGUGAAGGAUGACUGCCCUAUGGGUUGUAAACUUCUUUUAUAAAGGAAUAAAGUCGGGUAUGGAUACCCGUUUGCAUGUACUUUAUGAAUAAGGAUCGGCUAACUCCGUGCCAGCAGCCGCGGUAAUACGGAGGAUCCGAGCGUUAUCCGGAUUUAUUGGGUUUAAAGGGAGCGUAGAUGGAUGUUUAAGUCAGUUGUGAAAGUUUGCGGCUCAACCGUAAAAUUGCAGUUGAUACUGGAUAUCUUGAGUGCAGUUGAGGCAGGCGGAAUUCGUGGUGUAGCGGUGAAAUGCUUAGAUAUCACGAAGAACUCCGAUUGCGAAGGCAGCCUGCUAAGCUGCAACUGACAUUGAGGCUCGAAAGUGUGGGUAUCAAACAGGAUUAGAUACCCUGGUAGUCCACACGGUAAACGAUGAAUACUCGCUGUUUGCGAUAUACAGCAAGCGGCCAAGCGAAAGCGUUAAGUAUUCCACCUGGGGAGUACGCCGGCAACGGUGAAACUCAAAGGAAUUGACGGGGGCCCGCACAAGCGGAGGAACAUGUGGUUUAAUUCGAUGAUACGCGAGGAACCUUACCCGGGCUUAAAUUGCAGAUGAAUUACGGUGAAAGCCGUAAGCCGCAAGGCAUCUGUGAAGGUGCUGCAUGGUUGUCGUCAGCUCGUGCCGUGAGGUGUCGGCUUAAGUGCCAUAACGAGCGCAACCCUUGUUGUCAGUUACUAACAGGUUCCGCUGAGGACUCUGACAAGACUGCCAUCGUAAGAUGUGAGGAAGGUGGGGAUGACGUCAAAUCAGCACGGCCCUUACGUCCGGGGCUACACACGUGUUACAAUGGGGGGUACAGAGGGCCGCUACCACGCGAGUGGAUGCCAAUCCCCAAAACCUCUCUCAGUUCGGACUGGAGUCUGCAACCCGACUUCGUGAAGCUGGAUUCGCUAGUAAUCGCGCAUCAGCCAUGGCGCGGUGAAUACGUUCCCGGGCCUUGCACACAC